UCGGAGGUGGUGCAAUUGGUAGCACACCGGACUUUGACUCCGGCAAUGCUGGUUCGAUCCCAGCCCUCCGAGCCA
RNAcentral lists this transfer RNA (75 nucleotides) under Pseudomonadales bacterium. RNAcentral's name for it is "tRNA-Gln". It matches the Rfam family "tRNA". Rfam says of the family: Transfer RNA (tRNA) molecules are approximately 80 nucleotides in length. Their secondary structure includes four short double-helical elements and three loops (D, anti-codon, and T loops). Lineage: Bacteria; Pseudomonadati; Pseudomonadota; Gammaproteobacteria; Pseudomonadales. The record is from RNAcentral.